This 881-nucleotide ribosomal RNA is filed under the name Patescibacteria group bacterium. Its description in RNAcentral is "bacterial SSU rRNA". It matches the Rfam family "Bacterial small subunit ribosomal RNA", at positions 1 to 906 of the family's 1533-position model. The record is from RNAcentral.
UUUAUUGAGAGUUUGAUCCUGGCUCAGGGUGAACGCUGGCGACGUGUUUUAGGCAUGCAAGUCAAAUGUUUUUCGUAAACAUGGCACACGGGUGAGUAAUACGUUGGUAAUCUAACUUGAGGUCUGGGAUAACCCCGCGAAAGCGGGGAUAAUACCAGAUGGUCAUGUAGAGUCAUAGGACUUUACAUGUAAAGUUUUUCGCCUCGAGAAGAGCCUACGUCCCAUCAGCUUGUUGGUAGGGUAAAAGCCUACCAAGGCUAUGACGGGUAACUGGUCUGAGAAGACGACCAGUCACAUCGGGACUGACACACUGCCCGGACUCCUACGGGAGGCUGCAGUCAAGAAUCUUCCGCAAUGGGGGAAACCCUGACGGAGCGACGUCGCGUGAUUGAUGAAGUCCUUCGGGAUGUAAAAAUCUUUUAUAUCGGAAAAAGCCUUCGGGUUGAUUGUACGAUAUGAAUAAGCCAUGGCUAACCUCGUGCCAGCAGCCGCGGUAAGACGAGGAUGGCAAGCGUUACCCGGAAUAAUUGGGCGUAAAGCGUCCGCAGGCGGUUUGAAAAGUCGGUUGUUAAAUCCUAGGGCUCAACCCUAGGGCCGCAAUCGAAACUAUCAGACUAGAGAUAAGGAAGGGUGAGUGGAAUUCUCGGUGUAGCAGUAAAAUGCGUUAAUAUCGAGAGGAACACCAAUAGCGAAGGCAACUCACUGGCCUUAUUCUGACGCUCAUGGACGAAAGCGUGGGGAGCGAAUGGGAUUAGAUACCCCAGUAGUCCACGCCGUAAACGUUGGAUACUAGACAUAAGAGGAAUCGACCCCUGUUGUGUCGAAGCUAACGCGUUAAGUAUCCCGCCUGGGGAGUACGGUCGCAAGACUAAAACUCAAAG